This 253-nucleotide ribosomal RNA is filed under the name uncultured bacterium. RNAcentral describes it as "partial 16S ribosomal RNA". It matches the Rfam family "Bacterial small subunit ribosomal RNA", at positions 524 to 776 of the family's 1533-position model. The record is from RNAcentral.
UACAGAGGGUGCAAGCGUUGUUCGGAAUUAUUGGGCGUAAAGCGCGCGUAGGCGGCUUUGCAAGUCAGAUGUGAAAUCCCUCGGCUUAACCGAGGAAGUGCGUUUGAAACUGCAGAGCUUGAGUACUAAAGAGGAUGGCGGAAUUCCCGAAGUAGAGGUGAAAUUCGUAGAUAUCGGGAGGAACACCGGUGGCGAAGGCGGCCAUCUGGGUAGUCACUGACGCUGAGGCGCGAAAGCGUGGGUAUCAAACAGG